RNAcentral lists this ribosomal RNA (253 nucleotides) under uncultured prokaryote. RNAcentral's name for it is "partial 16S ribosomal RNA". It matches the Rfam family "Bacterial small subunit ribosomal RNA", at positions 524 to 776 of the family's 1533-position model. The record is from RNAcentral.
UACGGGGGGGGCAAGCGUUGUUCGGAAUUACUGGGCGUAAAGGGCCAGUAGGCGGCCAACUAAGUCCGACGUGAAAUCCCCAGGCUCAACCUGGGAACUGCGUCGGAUACUGGAUGGCUUGAAUUCGGGAGAGGGAUGUGGAAUUCCAGGUGUAGCGGUGAAAUGCGUAGAUAUCUGGAGGAACACCGGUGGCGAAGGCGACAUCCUGGACCGGCAUUGACGCUGAGGCGCGAAAGCCAGGGGAGCAAACGGG